GACGAACGCUGGCGGCGUGCCUAAUACAUGCAAGUCGAACGCUUCUUUCCUCCCGAGUGCUUGCACUCAAUUGGAGAGAGGAGUGGCGGACGGGUGAGUAACACGUGGGUAACCUACCCAUCAGAGGGGGAUAACACUUGGAAACAGGUGCUAAUACCGCAUAACAGUUUAUGCCGCAUGGCAUAAGAGUGAAAGGCGCUUUCGGGUGUCGCUGAUGGAUGGACCCGCGGUGCAUUAGCUAGUUGGUGAGGUAACGGCUCACCAAGGCCACGAUGCAUAGCCGACCUGAGAGGGUGAUCGGCCACACUGGGACUGAGACACGGCCCAGACUCCUACGGGAGGCAGCAGUAGGGAAUCUUCGGCAAAGGACGAAAGUCUGACCGAGCAACGCCGCGUGAGUGAAGAAGGUUUUCGGAUCGUAAAACUCUGUUGUUAGAGAAGAACAAGGACGUUAGUAACUGAACGUCCCCUGACGGUAUCUAACCAGAAAGCCACGGCUAACUACGUG
This 508-nucleotide ribosomal RNA is filed under the name uncultured bacterium. RNAcentral's name for it is "partial 16S ribosomal RNA". It matches the Rfam family "Bacterial small subunit ribosomal RNA", at positions 28 to 507 of the family's 1533-position model. The record is from RNAcentral.